GACGAACGCUGGCGGCGUGCCUAAUACAUGCAAGUUGAGCGCUGAAGGUUGGUACUUGUACCGACUGGAUGAGCAGCGCACGGGUGAGUAACGCGUGGGGAAUCUGCCUUUGAGCGGGGGACAACAUUUGGAAACGAAUGCUAAUACCGCAUAAAAACUUUAAACACAAGCUUUAAGUUUGAAAGAUGCAAUUGCAUCACUCAAAGAUGAUCCCGCGUUGUAUUAGCUAGUUGGUGAGGUAAAGGCUCACCAAGGCGAUGAUACAUAGCCGACCUGAGAGGGUGAUCGGCCACAUUGGGACUGAGACACGGCCCAAACUCCUACGGGAGGCAGCAGUAGUGAAUCUUCGGCCAGGGACGAAAGUCUGACCGAGCAACGCCGAGGGAGUGAAGAAGGUUGUCGGAUCGUAAAACUCUGUUGGUAGAGAAGAACGUUGGUGAGAGUGGAAAGCUCAUCAAGUGACGGUAACUACCCAGAAAGGGACGGCUAACUACGUG
RNAcentral lists this ribosomal RNA (497 nucleotides) under uncultured bacterium. RNAcentral describes it as "partial 16S ribosomal RNA". It matches the Rfam family "Bacterial small subunit ribosomal RNA", at positions 28 to 507 of the family's 1533-position model. The record is from RNAcentral.